Unclassified non-coding RNA from Macaca fascicularis (crab-eating macaque), 148 nucleotides. It matches the Rfam family "Metazoan signal recognition particle RNA". Rfam says of the family: The signal recognition particle (SRP) is a universally conserved ribonucleoprotein. It is involved in the co-translational targeting of proteins to membranes. The eukaryotic SRP consists of a 300-nucleotide 7S RNA and six proteins: SRPs 72, 68, 54, 19, 14, and 9. The record is from Ensembl. NCBI's taxonomy places the organism in Eukaryota, Metazoa, Chordata, Mammalia, Primates, Cercopithecidae.
GCUGGACGUGCUGGUGCAUGUCUGUAGCCCCAGGUAUUUAGGAGGCUGAGGUGGGAGGAUUGCUUGAGCCCAGGAGGUUGAGGCUGCAGUGAACCAUGAUGGUGCCACUGCACUCCAGCCUGGGUGACACAGCAAGAUCCUGUCUCAA